Molecule: ribosomal RNA, 500 nt
Filed under: uncultured bacterium
Lineage: Bacteria
Description: bacterial SSU rRNA
Rfam family: Bacterial small subunit ribosomal RNA
Source: RNAcentral
CCUACGGGAGGCAGCAGUGGGGAAUAUUGCACAAUGGGCGGAAGCCUGAUGCAGCAACGCCGCGUGCGGGAUGACGGCCUUCGGGUUGUAAACCGCUUUCGCCUGUGACGAAGCGUGAGUGACGGUAAUGGGUAAAGAAGCACCGGCUAACUACGUGCCAGCAGCCGCGGUGAUACGUAGGGUGCGAGCGUUGUCCGGAUUUAUUGGGCGUAAAGGGCUCGUAGGUGGUUGAUCGCGUCGGAAGUGUAAUCUUGGGGCUUAACCCUGAGCGUGCUUUCGAUACGGGUUGACUUGAGGAAGGUAGGGGAGAAUGGAAUUCCUGGUGGAGCGGUGGAAUGCGCAGAUAUCAGGAGGAACACCAGUGGCGAAGGCGGUUCUCUGGGCCUUUCCUGACGCUGAGGAGCGAAAGCGUGGGGAGCGAACAGGCUUAGAUACCCUGGUAGUCCACGCUGUAAACGGUGGGUACUAGGUGUGGGGUCCAUUCCACGGGUUCCGUGCCG